AGGAAAACCUUGGAAUUCCUGUUGUGGCUCAGCAGGUUAAGGACCAGACAUCGUCUCCAUAGGAUGCAGGUUCAAUCCCUGGCAUCACUCAGUGGGUCAGGGAUUGUCUCCAUAGGAUGCAGGUUCAAUCCCUGGCCUCACUCAGGAUCCGAUGUUGCCAUGCCUGUGAUGUGAGUGGCAGCUGCAGCUCUGAUGCAGCCCCUGGCCCAGGAACUUCCAUAUGCCACACGUGCAGCCAUGAAAAGAAAAAAGAAAACCUUGAUAGAAAAAAUAGGCAAGGAGUUCCCACUGUGGCACGGUGGGUUAAGAAUCCACUGCAGCAUCUCAUGUCAAUGUGGAGAUGAGGUUCGAUCCCCACCCCAGCGCAAUGGCUUAAAGGAUCCAGUGCUGCAGUAGCCAAAGCACAGGUCGCAGCUGUGGCUCAGAUUCACUCCCUAGCCCAGGAAAUUCCAUAUGCUGCAGGUGCGGCCAUAAAAUGAAAAAAAGUGAAAGAAAGGAGGGAGGGAAGGAAAGUAAGAAAAAAAAAAUAGGCAAAGUAACACAAAGAGGCAAUUGACAAAAAAUAAAAAUAGGCCAUAAAUAUGUAAAAAGCUGUUUGGCCUCACUAACGUAGCAGCCACCAUUGGUCACCUACUCCAAGUCAAUUCCCACCUUCUCCCUUGACUGUUUGAACACCAAUCCCAUCGGCAAACAAGUUGGGGAGAGUGUGGGAUCUAAAGCUGGUCAAUGAGCGGGGAGGGAGGUCUGCCAGGAGGCUGCCAGGGAAGGUUUCUGAUGCUCCCCAUCUCUGUAGCUGACACAACAGAACUUCUUGCUCAUGCAAAGUCCAACAACGGCAUUCCUGGCUGGGUGCUCGGUCCAUGCGGUCCUGCUCAGGGAGUCACUCAGACCCUAAGAUCCUUCCUCCGUGUGGAUCUGCCAUCCUCAAAAUAUACUCCCAGGAGUUUCCCUCCUGGUGUAGUGGAAAUGAUCCAACUAGAAUCCAUUAGGAUGUAGGUUCGAUCCCUGGCCUCACUCAGUGGGUUGGGGAUCCAGCAUUGCUGUGCACGGUAGUGUAGGUCGCAGAUGCAGCUCGGAUCUGGCGUUGCUGUUGGUACUGGAAUGAUGAUAUCGGAAUCCAGGUUCUUGUUCACGGCAGUCGAAGAAUGAGCUCCACGAACACACAGGCAGCAAGCAAGCAAGCAAAAUCUUUAUUAAAGGAAAGCAAAUAGCUCCCAGGGUUGCUGGGAGCAGGGAAAAGGGCCCCCUUUCUCUAUUGCCCUUAAAGGGGGGGAGGGUACCAACAUGGGGUCCAGAAAGAUGUGGUUUUUUCUCCCAUUGGCCUUGCUCAAUUACCCAUAUCAGUCCUUGUCCAAUAGGGUCUUAGGGGUGGAAACAUCCCAUAAGUCUCAUAGUCUCUCUGUGCUUUUCUUCCCGUAGACUGAGUCACAGGGGACUAGGGGUUAAUGUCCAUCUGGGCGCAGGUACACUCCCUAUAGUAAACAAGGCCUGUGGGGAUGUUACUCCCUGGAGCCCAUAAGCCACAAAUGUUAAUCAGUGGCCAUAUCGAAGAAGGCAUCGAAGCUCCUGCUCCUACACUGACUACCUGAGUUAUGCUCAGUGUGGCUCUGGCGUCAGCUGGCAACUGUAGCUCAGAUUCAGCCCCCAGCCUGGGAACUUCCAUAUGCUGUGGGAGAGGCAAGACGAUAACCACAAAGGCAAGCACUGGGACAAGCCCCAUGGUUCCACCCCCUCGUAGAGCACCUUGCUGCCUGCUCGAAGGUGGAAAACAAAAUGCAUUCCCCAGACCCCCUUCGGCUCUGUGCUGCCCACGCCCUUGCUUCCACCAACAGCCGCACCUGAGAUCUAUGGGCAAAAGUGAGGCCAAGCCCUGCUUCUGCUUCAGGCGG
RNAcentral lists this long non-coding RNA (1889 nucleotides) under Sus scrofa (pig). RNAcentral describes it as "lncRNA (ENSSSCG00060044510.1)". The record is from RNAcentral. Lineage: Eukaryota; Metazoa; Chordata; Mammalia; Artiodactyla; Suidae.